UUGGAGGGCAAGUCUGGUGCCAGCAGCGCGGUAAUUCCAGCUCCAAUAGCGUAUAUUAAAGUUGUUGCAGUUAAAAAGCUCGUAGUUGAACUUCGGGGUUUACCCAUUGGUCAGGCUUAAUUGUCUGUACUGGUGAGAUGAAUCUCUACCUUCUGAGGAACUUUCAUGCCAUUUAUUUGGUGUGAUGGGAAAUCAGGACUGUUACUUUGAAAAAAUUAGAGUGUUUAAAGCAGGCUAACGUCUGAAUACAUUAGCAUGGAAUAAUGAAAUAGGACGGACUGAUUCUAUUUCGUUGGUUUCUAGGAUCACCGUAAUGAUUAAUAGGGAUAGUUGGGGGCAUUAGUAUUCAAUUGUCAGAGGUGAAAUUCUUGGAUUUAUUGAAGACUAACUACUGCGAAAGCAUUUGCCAAGGAUGUUUUCAUUAAUCAAGAACGAAAGUUAGGGGAUCGAAGACGAUCAGAUACCGUCGUAGUCUUAACCAUAAACUAUGCCGACUAGGGAUCGGACGAAGUUAAUUUUAUAAUGACGCGUUCGGCGCCUUACGGGAAAC
Molecule: ribosomal RNA, 550 nt
Filed under: uncultured Glomeromycotina
Lineage: Eukaryota; Fungi; Glomeromycota
Description: SSU rRNA
Rfam family: Eukaryotic small subunit ribosomal RNA
Source: RNAcentral